GAUUGGAGCAAGCCCAGAGGCUCUAGAAGAUGAAAUUAGAGAAUAUCUAAGAUAUUUGAAUGUACUAAGAAGUGGUUUAUAAAAUGAUGGGGUAGGGAGGAUGAAGGGAACAAGGUCAAUUUAGUGGUAAAACAUCAAAAACUAAGCCAAUAAAGGUAAUUAUUAACUCUAGAGAAAAUAAAAUGUUGUUCACUGAAUCAAAAAUAUUUACCAAGUUAGCAUAAUGUGAACAAUGAACAUCCAUCUAGCCAAAUUUCUGCAAGGAUGGAGGUGAUUGGAAUGUACCUGGCAAUAGGUCUGUCUUGUUUCACCUGCUCAUAUGGUGCCAAUUGCAGAGGCCUUGCAGCAGGCACUUCAGACCCAAGGUAUUCGUGUGCAAUGGCUGUGACUGACACCUCAGCUCUGUGGACCACGUGGAGAAGACCUGCACAUGACCCUGCAAAUCAAGAUGGCAGCAGUGGGCUGUGUGCAGAAAUGCUGCCCCCAGCACUGUGAUCAAGAGCCUCAGCCCAGCUGUGCUGCUCUAUGGAAACUCCACCCACUCCUUGCUGCUGUUGUUCUUGCUGUUCAGUUGCUAAAUCAUGUCUGACAUUUUGCAACCCCAUGGAUUGCAAUGCCCCAGGCUUCCCUGUCCUUCACUAUCUUCUGGAGUUUGCUCAAAUUUAUGUCUAUGGAGUCGGUGAUGCCAUCCAACCAUCACAUCCUCUGUCGCUCCCUUUUCCUGCCCUCAAUCUUUCCCAGCAUCAGGGUCUUUUCCAGUGAAUUAGCUCUUCGCUUCAGGUGGCCAUACUAUUGAAGCUUCAGUUUCAGCAUCAAUCCUUCCAAUGAAUAUUCAGGGUUGAUUUCCUUUAGCAUUGAUUGGUUUGAUCUCCUUGCUGUCCAAGGGACUCUCAAGAGUCUUCUUCAGCACCACAAUUUAAAAGCAUCAAUUCUUUGUAUUUGUAAGGCACAUAAACCAGUGUCUGGCACCUAACAGGUACUAUGUAAGCAUUUCCUGUUUAAUGGAAAUAAAUCUUGUGUGACUGGGGUCAAAAGUCUGUGCCCCAGUGGGGGAAGAAGAGGGUGUGAUGAAUCGAGAGAGUAGCAUUGAAACAUACACAUUACCGUAUGCAAAAUAGAUGGUGGGAAGUUGCUGUAUAACAUAGAGAGCUCUGAAUAUUCAUAUUCAUAUUCAAUAUUCAUUGGAAGGACUGAUGCUGAAGCUGAAACUCCAAUACUUUGGCCACCUGAUGCAAAGAACUGACUCAUUUGAAAAGACCCCAAUGCUGGGAAAGGUUGAAGGCAGGAGGGGAAGGGGACGAUAGAG
Bos taurus (domestic cattle) is the source of this 1306-nucleotide long non-coding RNA. The record is from Ensembl. NCBI's taxonomy places the organism in Eukaryota, Metazoa, Chordata, Mammalia, Artiodactyla, Bovidae.